AGCGGCGGAUGGGUGAGUAACACGUGGGGAACCUGCCCCUAAGUCUGGGAUACCAUUUGGAAACAGGUGCUAAUACCGGAUAAUAAAGCAGAUCGCAUGAUCAGCUUUUGAAAGGCGGCGUAAGCUGUCGCUAAGGGAUGGCCCCGCGGUGCAUUAGCUAGUUGGUAAGGUAACGGCUUACCAAGGCGACGAUGCAUAGCCGAGUUGAGAGACUGAUCGGCCACAUUGGGACUGAGACACGGCCCAAACUCCUACGGGAGGCAGCAGUAGGGAAUCUUCCACAAUGGACGCAAGUCUGAUGGAGCAACGCCGCGUGAGUGAAGAAGGUUUUCGGAUCGUAAAGCUCUGUUGUUGGUGAAGAAGGAUAGAGGUAGUAACUGGCCUUUAUUUGACGGUAAUCAACCAGAAAGUCACGGCUAACUACGUGCCAGCAGCCGCGGUAAUGCGUAGGUGGCAAGCGUUGUCCGGAUUUAUUGGGCGUAAAGCGAGCGCAGGCGGAAAAAUAAGUCUAAUGUGAAAGCCCUCGGCUUAACCGAGGAACUGCAUCGGAAGCUGUUUUUCUUGAGUGCAGAAGAGGAGAGUGGAACUCCAUGUGUAGCGGUGGAAUGCGUAGAUAUAUGGAAGAACACCAGUGGCGAAGGCGGCUCUCUGGUCUGCAACUGACGCUGAGGCUCGAAAGCAUGGGUAGCGAACAGGAUUAGAUACCCUGGUAGUCCAUGCCGUAAACGAUGAGUGCUAAGUGU
This 743-nucleotide ribosomal RNA is filed under the name uncultured bacterium. RNAcentral's name for it is "bacterial SSU rRNA". It matches the Rfam family "Bacterial small subunit ribosomal RNA", at positions 94 to 823 of the family's 1533-position model. The record is from RNAcentral.